RNAcentral lists this ribosomal RNA (432 nucleotides) under uncultured bacterium. RNAcentral's name for it is "partial 16S ribosomal RNA". It matches the Rfam family "Bacterial small subunit ribosomal RNA", at positions 29 to 507 of the family's 1533-position model. The record is from RNAcentral.
ACGAACGCUGGCGGCAUGCCUAACACAUGCAAGUCGAACGAUGCCUCCGGGCAUAGUGGCGCACGGGUGCGUAACGCGUGGGAAUCUGCCCUUGGGUUCGGAAUAACUCGCCGAAAGGCGAGCUAAUACCGGAUGAUGACGUAAGUCCAAAGAUUUAUCGCCCAAGGAUGAGCCCGCGUAGGAUUAGCUAGUUGGUGGGGUAAAGGCCCACCAAGGCGACGAUCCUUAGCUGGUCUGAGAGUAUGAUCAGCCACACUGGGACUGAGACACGGCCCAGACUCCUACGGGAGGCAGCAGUGGGGAAUAUUGGACAAUGGGCGAAAGCCUGAUCCAGCAAUGCCGCGUGAGUGAUGAAGGCCUUAGGGUUGUAAAGCUCUUUUACCCGGGAUGAUAAUGACAGUACCGGGAGAAUAAGCGCCGGCUAACUCCGUG